RNAcentral lists this long non-coding RNA (546 nucleotides) under Hordeum vulgare. RNAcentral describes it as "long non-coding RNA (HVUL_LNC004831)". The record is from RNAcentral. Lineage: Eukaryota; Viridiplantae; Streptophyta; Magnoliopsida; Poales; Poaceae.
GAGAGUUCUAUGUGGGGUUAGGUGUGUCUGCAUGUGCUUGCGUCUAGAGGAAGAUCUCAUACAACCCAUGAAGGAUGACGUCAAGUGGUGAUCGUCAUCAAGAUUGCGGUGUGCAAGUUCAAGUGGAUCAACACAAAGAUAUCAUGCUUGAAGCCUGUCGUCCAUUGUGGUGGCAAUGGACUUGUGAAGAUAUACUGAAGAGUGGCUCACCCAUGUUGUGUAUGGGGGAGCAAUUAACUAGUCUUCAUCAAGCCAAUGCAAUCAAGAAGGUGGUCCAUCUUGAGGAAGCCAAGAUCAUCGUCAUCUAGCUCAAGAGGACGAGGUGCAAGGUAUAGGUUUGCCCUUGAUAGGUUUUCUGUUUUAGGAUAGAUUGUCGUUCUGUCAAGGGGGGAUCUCAAGUGAGUAGCUCGAUUGUAUCGUUCGUUGAGAGCUCGAACCAUUUGCAUCCUUGCAUCAUACUUCUUGGUUCUUAUUUGGUGUUUCUCUUUGUGAGUUUUAGAGCUUAUGGUCAUCUUCAUGACAAGAUUGAGUUCAUCGAAAACGGAG